GACAGAGGUGCCGAGCGUUAGGCGGAAUCACUGGGCUUAAAGCGUGUGUAGGCGGAUUGGUAAGUACUUUGUGAAAUCCCACGGCUUAACCGUGGAACUGCUUGGUAUACUGCCAGUCUUGAGCCAGCUAGGGGCUACCGGAACAAAUGGUGGAGCGGUGAAAUGCGUAGAUAUCAUUUGGAACGCCAAUGGUGAAAACAGGUAGCUGGGGCUGUGCUGACGCUGAGACACGAAAGCCAGGGGAGCAAACGGG
RNAcentral lists this ribosomal RNA (253 nucleotides) under uncultured bacterium. Its description in RNAcentral is "partial 16S ribosomal RNA". It matches the Rfam family "Bacterial small subunit ribosomal RNA", at positions 524 to 776 of the family's 1533-position model. The record is from RNAcentral.